This 2783-nucleotide ribosomal RNA is filed under the name human oral metagenome. RNAcentral describes it as "bacterial LSU rRNA". It matches the Rfam family "Bacterial large subunit ribosomal RNA". The record is from RNAcentral.
UACGGUGGAUGCCUAGGCUCUUACAGGCGAUGAAGGACGUGAUAAGCUGCGAAAAGCCGCGGGGAGAUGCAAAUGAUCUUUGAUCCGCGGAUAUCCGAAUGGGACAACCCAGUGGAGCAAACCUCCACUAUCCCGCAAAUGCGGGAGGCGAACGCUGGGAACUGAAACAUCUUAGUACCAGUAGGAAGAGAAAAUAAAAAUGAUUCCCCUAGUAGUGGCGAGCGAACGGGGAAGAGCCCAAACCAUCGGGAUUCCGGUCCUGGUGGGGUUGUAGGACUGCGUGAUUGCAAGAAUUAUGGUGAGAAGAAGCAACUGGAAAGUUGUGCCAUAGCGGGUGAUAGCCCCUUAUUCGAAGCCAUAUGAAGCAUAGCAGUAUCCUGAGUAGCGCGGGACACGAGAAAUCCUGUGUGAAUCCGGCGGGCCCAUCCGCCAAGGCUAAAUACUCGUAAGAGACCGAUAGCGAACCAGUACCGUGAGGGAAAGGUGAAAAGCACCUCGUGUAGAGGAGUGAAAAAGUUCCUGAAACCGUACGCCUACAAGCGGUCGGAGCUCCCUUGAGGAGUGACGGCGUGCCUUUUGCAUAAUGAACCUACGAGUUGCCGGUAUCAGCAAGGUUAAGGGUCUAGAAGUCCCGCAGCCGAAGCGAAAGCGAGUCUUAACAGGGCGCUGAGUUGUUACAGGCAGACGCGAAACCAAGUGAUCUACCCUUGUCCAGGAUGAAGUCCGGGUAACACCGGAUGGAGGUCCGCACCAAUAAGCGUUGAAAAGCUUCUGGAUGAGGUGAGGGUAGGAGUGAAAGGCCAAUCAAACUUGGAGAUAGCUCGUACUCCCCGAAAUGCAUUUAGGUGCAGCCUAUGGUGUUUACUGCGUGAGGUAGAGCGACUGAUCGGAUGCGAGGGCUUCACCGCCUAUCAAGUCCGGACAAACUCCGAAUGCGCGCAGUUAAUAGCCAUGGAGUGAGGGCGCGGGUGCUAAGGUCCGUGCCCGAGAGGAGAAGAAUCCAGACCAUCAGCUAAGGUCCCGAAGUAAUGAUUAAGUUAAACUAACGAAGUGUGGUCUCAGCGACAGCUAGGAUGUUGGCUUGGAAGCAGCCAUUCAUUCAAAGAGUGCGUAACAGCUCACUAGUCGAGAGACCGUGCAUGGAUAAUAAUCGGGUAUUAAAUCAUUCACCGAAGCUAUGGAAACCGUAAGGUUUGGUAGGGGAGCAUUCCAAGUGCGUUGAAGGUAUGAGAUGACUCAUACUGGAGCGCUUGGAAAAGCAAAUGUAGGUAUAAGUAACGAUAAAGGGGGUGCGAUGCCCCCUCGCCGCAAGACUAAGGAUUCCCGGGCAACGUUAAUCGGCCCGGGGUAAGUCGGGACCUAAGGAUAAGCCGAAAGGCGAGGCCGAUGGAAGAGACGGUAAAAAUUCCGUCACUAGCUUAUGGGGCGAUGUGGAGACGGAGAAGUGACACUGCCGCGUUCUGACGGAAAUGGACGUUAAAGAGUGUAGGCAAUGAGGAAGGCAGGCAAAUCCACCUUCCGAGCUGAACUUGAAAGUAUGCAAGGCCUUCGGGCUGCGCAAUAGUGCAGGUAAACAGACUCCCGAGAAAAUCCGCUAAGCUUAACCCAUAAGGUACCCGUACCGUAAACGGACACACGUAGUCGGGUAGAAUAUACUGAGGCGCUUGGAAGAUUCAUGGUUAAGGAACUAGGCAAAUUGACCCUGUAACUUCGGGAGAAAGGGUCCCUGCAGCAAUGUAGGGCGCAGAGAAUAGGUCCAGGCAACUGUUUAACAAAAACACAGGGCUGUGCAAAAUCGAAAGAUGAAGUAUACAGUCUGACACCUGCCCGGUGCCGGAAGGUCAAGAGGAGAGCUCAUCGCAAGAGAAGGCUUGAAUUGAAGCCCCGGUAAACGGCGGCCGUAACUAUAACGGUCCUAAGGUAGCGAAAUUCCUUGUCGGGUAAGUUCCGACCUGCACGAAUGGUGUAAUGAUCCGGACGCUGUCUCAACCAUGAUUCCAGUGAAAUUGUAGUAUCGGUGAAGAUGCCGAUUACCCGCGAUGGGACGAAAAGACCCCGUGAACCUUUACUAUAGCUUAACGUUGUAACUGGGCAAGGGAUGUGUAGGAUAGGCCGGAGGCUAUGAAGCGUGCACGCCAGUGUAUGUGGAGCCGCUGUUGAAAUACGGCCCUUCCACUGUCUGGUUCCUAACUCGCUAGAUGCGAGGACACCGUUUGGUGGGUAGUUUGACUGGGGUGGUCGCCUCCAAAAGCGUAACGGAGGCUUCUAAAGGUACCCUCAGACCGAUUGGUAACCGGUCGUAGAGUGUAAUGGCACAAGGGUGCUUGACUGGGAGACUAACAAGUCGCACAGGUAGGAAACUAGAGCAUAGUGAUCCGGUGGUUCCGUAUGGAAGGGCCAUCGCUCAAAGGAUAAAAGGUACUCCGGGGAUAACAGGCUGAUCCCUCCCAAGAGCUCAUAUCGACGGAGUGGUUUGGCACCUCGAUGUCGGCUCGUCACAUCCUGGGGCUGGAGAAGGUCCCAAGGGUUGGGCUGUUCGCCCAUUAAAGUGGCACGCGAGCUGGGUUCAGAACGUCGUGAGACAGUUCGGUCUCUAUCUAUCGUGGGCGUAGGAAAUUUGCGUGGCUCUGACACUAGUACGAGAGGACCGUGUUGGACAGACCUCUGGUUUACCGGUUGUGACGCCAGUUGCACCGCCGGGUAUCUAAGUCUGGAUGGGAUAAGCGCUGAAAGCAUCUAAGUGCGAAGCCCGCCACAAGAUGAGAUUUCCUCAUAAGGGUCGU